This 301-nucleotide ribosomal RNA is filed under the name uncultured bacterium. Its description in RNAcentral is "partial 16S ribosomal RNA". It matches the Rfam family "Bacterial small subunit ribosomal RNA", at positions 509 to 809 of the family's 1533-position model. The record is from RNAcentral.
CAGUCGCCGCGGGAAUACAGAGGGUGCAAGCGUUAAUCGGAAUUACUGGGCGUAAAGCGCGCGUAGGUGGUUUGUUAAGUUGGAUGUGAAAUCCCCGGGCUCAACCUGGGAACUGCAUCCAAAACUGGCAGGCUAGAGUAGGGCAGAGGGUGGUGGAAUUUCCUGUGUAGCGGUGAAAUGCGUAGAUAUAGGAAGGAACACCAGUGGCGAAGGCGACCACCUGGGCUCAUACUGACACUGAGGUGCGAAAGCGUGGGGAGCAAACAGGAUUAGAUACCCCGGUAGUCCCUGUCUCUUAUAA